Molecule: long non-coding RNA, 548 nt
Organism: Brienomyrus brachyistius
Lineage: Eukaryota; Metazoa; Chordata; Actinopteri; Osteoglossiformes; Mormyridae
Exons: 2
Source: RefSeq, a predicted model, not a curated record
AGAGGCAUUAGUUCAUUAUAAACAGUGUACUGCUAUGUAAGACACAUCACCUAUGGCAAAGUCAGAUCAGCAUACUAUCAGUGUUUAACCACUGCAAAAAAAGUUGUAUUGUGAGAUAAGCAGGUUUCCACAGUUUAGGUAAACAAAUGGAGAAGCAGAAGGAUACAUCCGAGUCUUUCAAAAGCAAAUACACAAGUGGAUGACUUUAUGGCUCCCCCUAAUUAUGCCCCCCCAAGAGAUUGAUGCCAUCUGAUGACAAAGCACAAAUUAAAAUACUUUUUCUUAAUUCUCACAAUUUUUGUACAACUAUCCUAUUGGAAUAGUUCAGUGGAAAAUGGAGUAUAAGCGCAACGUGCUUUCCUUUUGUCUCCAGCGUACUGGUGUUUAGUUUUUUUGUACUCCACCUUCGUCUAAAUUACUCGGCUCAGGCCAGCAUAAUUUGCAGUCUAUAAAGGACACAUUUCGAUAGGGGGGUUACCUUGCCGUAGUGUGUCGUAUUCACCAGCUCGUAAAACGCGAUGUUCGCCUAUGCUCAUUCUCAUCUCAAA